Delphinapterus leucas (beluga whale) is the source of this 1284-nucleotide long non-coding RNA. RefSeq lists it as uncharacterized. The record is from RefSeq and is a predicted model, not a curated record. Lineage: Eukaryota; Metazoa; Chordata; Mammalia; Artiodactyla; Monodontidae.
GCUACGGGGAUGGUGGGGUGCGGGCUCGGGUCCCCGCCCGACCCGGCGCCCGCCGCCGGCCGAACCCCGACCCCCGCGUCUCCAUCGUGGGUCGCGAUGGUCGAAUGUGCGCCCGGGUCCGCGGGAUAGGCGGGCGCAGAGGUUCCUUGUGUCGGCGGGGUGGGUGCGGCGAGGUUCCGGCGCCUCCGCGUAGCAUCGUGGGGCCGGGGCUGGGGGCGCCGCGGAUUGCUAUGCUUUCCGCACCUUCCCGGCUCUGAAGCCUCGAGAACACGGCUAUAGGCAGCAGUAGUUUAAUGGGGAGUUUGCCUGCUGGGAACUAGGGGCCUGCUGGGGUCUCAGUUCUUGGCCGGCCCUGGAACACGAGGUUGCCAGGUGUGUGACGGCAGCAGGUAGGAGUGACCCGCUGGUGCAGUGAUGAGCAGGAAAGCACAGGAAGGACAGCGGCUGUUGGCCUGUGAACCUAGGCAAGAAUGACCAGCCGACACGGUCCAGACCGAGGUCCGUGGGCCCAGCUUGGUCCUCUGCGGCUGGUCAGUGGAACAGACCUGCAGGUGUGGCUCCUGUCACUCUAGGACUGGCUUCAGGACAGAUCCGGGCCGGAAGAGCCCAGGGCACCGCCCUCAGUUCUCCAGGAGAGUGCGCCAGAGUGGAGCCAGGAGGGGUGUGCGCGACUCAGCACGGGGGCCAUGCACGUCCAGUCUGCUGGCAUGGGCAGUGGGGAGCCGGGGGAAGUCAUGGCCUUGCGAAUGUCCUCUGAUGAAAAGGAACCUGCGGGCUUAAUAAAAUAACUUGCGUGGAACGUCGGUGUGCUGAAAAGCAGUUGUGUGUGCUUUUCCCCCUUGGUGUGGAUCAGUGGUGCUGAGGCAGCAGGCGCGAUACAGAACUGUGAGCAGAGACCUUCUGGAAUCCCCAGACUCCAGGGAAACUGAAGGUGACGGCCAGCCUAGUGAAGAGGACAGGGGGCGGGGGCGGCAGCCCAGCAGGCGCCCCUCGUCUUAGGGCCCUAAUCCUGGCUCCAGCCCGCUGGUCAGGGGAGCUGCACGGUCCCUUGGGUGAGCAGAGCCCCCAGUCCUGAGCCGUUCUUCGCUGUGUUGGGUCAUCUCCCGCCAUCCAAGGGGGGAAUCUAGAUGAGGGUUAAGAAGUAGUGCUUUAAGAAUGUGGAUCUCAUAGUUGGAGCACGUGUCUUCAGCACAAAGUGUUAAAGUGAACGGAAGGAUUCAACCCCUUUUCGAGGAGGGCAUCUCCAUGUGGGCAGAACUAGAGAAUAAAUGGGUCUUGAAUACA